Non-coding RNA from Schistosoma mansoni, 45 nucleotides. Lineage: Eukaryota; Metazoa; Platyhelminthes; Trematoda; Strigeidida; Schistosomatidae. The record is from Rfam.
AUCCAGCUGACGAGUCCCAAAUCGAACGAAAUGAUUGUCCUAGAU